AUCUAGUUGAUGAGUUCCAAAUAGGACGAAACAUGCGUCCUAGAU
This 45-nucleotide non-coding RNA is filed under the name Schistosoma curassoni. The record is from RNAcentral. Lineage: Eukaryota; Metazoa; Platyhelminthes; Trematoda; Strigeidida; Schistosomatidae.